AUUGAACGCUGGCGGCAUGCCUUACACAUGCAAGUCGAACGGCAGCACGGGUGCUUGCACCUGGUGGCGAGUGGCGAACGGGUGAGUAAUACAUCGGAACGUACCUUAUCGUGGGGGAUAACGCAGCGAAAGCUGUGCUAAUACCGCAUACGCCCUGAGGGGGAAAGCGGGGGAUCGCAAGACCUCGCGCGAUUAGAGCGGCCGAUGCCCGAUUAGCUUGUUGGUGGGGUAAAAGCCCACCAAGGCGACGAUCAGUAGCUGGUCGGAGAGGACAAUCAGCCACACGGGGACUGGGAAACGGCCCAGACUCCUACGGGAGGCAGCAGUGGGGAAUUUUGGACAAUGGGGGCAACCCUGAUCCAGCAAUGCCGCGUGAGUGAAGAAGGCCUUCGGGUUGUAAAGCUCUUUUGUCAGGGAAGAAACACCGGCUCUAACACAGUCCGGGAAUGACGGUACCUGAAGAAUAAGCACCGGCUAACUACGUGCCAGCAGCCGCCGCAG
Molecule: ribosomal RNA, 501 nt
Filed under: uncultured bacterium
Lineage: Bacteria
Description: partial 16S ribosomal RNA
Rfam family: Bacterial small subunit ribosomal RNA
Source: RNAcentral